RNAcentral lists this ribosomal RNA (253 nucleotides) under uncultured bacterium. RNAcentral describes it as "partial 16S ribosomal RNA". It matches the Rfam family "Bacterial small subunit ribosomal RNA", at positions 524 to 776 of the family's 1533-position model. RNAcentral also lists the same sequence under 1 other name. The record is from RNAcentral.
GACGAACCGUGCGAACGUUGUUCGGAAUCACUGGGCUUAAAGGGCGCGUAGGCGGGCUGCCAAGUCUGGGGUGAAAUCCUCCGGCUCAACCGGAGAACGGCCUCGGAUACUGGCGGUCUCGAGGGAGGUAGGGGCGUGCGGAACUAAGGGUGGAGCGGUGAAAUGCGUUGAUAUCCUUAGGAACUCCGGUGGCGAAGGCGGCACGCUGGACCUUUUCUGACGCUGAGGCGCGAAAGCCAGGGGAGCAAACGGG